Beta vulgaris subsp. vulgaris (sugar beet) is the source of this 1270-nucleotide long non-coding RNA. RefSeq lists it as uncharacterized. NCBI's taxonomy places the organism in Eukaryota, Viridiplantae, Streptophyta, Magnoliopsida, Caryophyllales, Amaranthaceae. The transcript is spliced from 7 exons. The record is from RefSeq and is a predicted model, not a curated record.
CUUCUUCAUCACCUGGAAGUUUCCACCUCACCCAGUCACCACCUUCGCCAUCUCCAUUUUUCCUCCUCUACUUCCUGGUGCCGGCGAUUCACAUCGCCACCUUUCAAAAAUCGCCGGCAAUUCACCCUCACCAUCGUUAUCCAAACACAUUAAUAUGAACCUGGAUUGUUCUUUCAUUUUAACCUAAUUUUGUUUUUUUCAAACAGGACCAAGGUUCAGUAACAUUACAGGAUACAGCAGCUCCAUUGAGAGAUCGAAAGAUUAACUCUUCGAAUAUUUCUGCUUCAUUUUCGUCUUCACCUUCUCUUCUUCUACCUUCACUGUUACAGGUAACUAAUUUAUGUGAUAUGGAGAUUGAUGACAUGAUAUGCUUAGUAGGAUUGGCUCAGCAUGGGACACAUCGGCAAUUGGUGCAAACAAUGGCAAAGUUCAAUGACCCCGGUGCUACAUUGUGAACUGAUUUAUAUUUUAUUUUAGACAAGAUUAUCAGAAGGAAUUAGCUAAAACAACUCUUUGAUUGGUGCAGAGUGUGUACUAUAAGACUGAUGUUUGGUUAAUUUGUAAGAUACAGAUGACGAGAAAAUCUAAUGGUACAAAGUCUCUCUAUGAACCAGUCGGGUACGUCUUGAUUAUAUGGUGUUCAGCUGUAUAAUUCAACCUGACCCUCGGUUGCGAAAUAAUCAAGUUCGAUCACUCAAUACCCCCAUUUUUCAUCUCAUUCAACAAGAAAAAUAAAAAAAAAGGGGAAAGAAAGAGGAAGUGGCCUACUCCAGAGGGUUCCAAUUUUGCAGUUAGAUCAGAGUAUGUUUCACUCUCUCAAUGUGAUAAAUGGGUUCGAGCCAAUCAGAUCUUUAGAUUUUUCAGCUCACAAUGAGCUUAUCUCAGUUAUGAAGAUGGAGGAUGAGCUGCUGCAGACCUUUGGCUGUUGAAGAACAAUAUGAGUCUAUUCUUGCAGUUGUUACCGUUGGUUGAAACCUGCGCCCAAUAACUGUUCAAUAACGAAGAUUUCAAUAACGAAGAUUGCAGGAACAUCAAGUUCUUUUACUCGCUAUUUUGCUUUGCGGCCUAAUGGUCCUUGUUAAUGAUGUGCCACCUAAAGUUAAUCAGUGCCUAAUAUAAACUAAUCUUUUUUGCUGAUAAGCGUGAUUUAAUCCUUGUAAUAGAUAUAACAAAUUAGACAAAGCACAAAACCUUGGGGCAAAUUUUGUAACAAUCAAACGGUUUUCAACCAACGCAUAUAUGAAAUAUAAUCUAAUUGCCUUAUUAUCUU